RNAcentral lists this non-coding RNA (30 nucleotides) under Rattus norvegicus (Norway rat). Lineage: Eukaryota; Metazoa; Chordata; Mammalia; Rodentia; Muridae. The record is from RNAcentral.
UGUCUGGCUAAAGGUAUGAUUGGAUGACUA